GGAGAAUCUGUGGCAUCUAAGUGAUCAGGACUCAGCACAGAGGGCUCGCCAUGGAGCUGGUGCUGAGCUGGGUUUUCCUUCUGGCUUUUUUCAAAGGUGUCCAAGCUGAGGAGAGGUUGGUGGAGUCCGGGGGAGGCUUAGUGCAGCCCGGAGGGUCCCUGAGACUCUCCUGCGUGGGCUCCGGGUUCACCUUCAGUAGCUAUGUCAUGUACUGGAUCCGUCAGGCCCCAGGAAAAGGGCUGGAGUGGAUCUCAUAUAUCAGUGAGCGUAGUAUUAACAUAAACUAUGCAGACUCCGUGAAGGGCCGCUUCACCAUCUCCAGAGACAACGACAAAAACACGGUGUAUCUGCAAAUGAACAACCUGAAAACCGAGGACACGGCCGUGUAUUACUGUACCAGAGACACAGUGAGGGAAACCUCUGUACAAGCCAGGCAAAAACCUCCCUUCAGGAAUGCUUAA
Octodon degus (degu) is the source of this 461-nucleotide non-coding RNA. NCBI's taxonomy places the organism in Eukaryota, Metazoa, Chordata, Mammalia, Rodentia, Octodontidae. The record is from the annotation of a RefSeq genome assembly.